UAUGGUUUUAAAAAUUUAUUUUUAAUUUGUUUUACAUGUAAAUUUUAGUAUGAAUUUUUAUUUAUUUUAAUAAUAAUAAUAAAUUAUUUUCAGUAAUUAAAAUUAAAAAUUUAAGAAAUUAAGAUUUAGUAAUAUUAAAAUUAUUAACAAAUUUUGUGCCAGCAGUUGCGGUUAUACAAAAAAUAAAAUAAAUUUUUUUAGUUUUUAAAAAAAAAAAUAUUUUAAAUUAAAUAUUAAAUUAUUAGGUGAAAUUUUAAUUUAAUUAAAAUUUUAUUUUUUUUUUGGUUAAAUAAAUUUAAUUAUAAACUAGGAUUAGAUACCCUAUUAUUAAAAAGUUAAUUUAAAAUACUAAAAUAUUAAAUAAUUAAUUAUUGAAACUUAAAUAAUUUGGCGGUAUUUUAGUUCAUUUAGAGGAAUCUGUUUAAUAAUUGAUAAUCCACGAAUAAAUUUACUUAAUUUAUUAUUUUAUAUAUCGUUGUUAAAAAAAUAUUUUUUAUAAAAAAUAAUAUUUUAAAAUUUUAAAUAUAAAUUAAUUCAAAUCAAGAUGUAGAUUAUAAUUAAGAAUAUAAUGGAUUACAAUAAAAUUAUUUAAAUGAAUAUUAUUUUGUAAUAAUUAAUUAAAAGUGGAUUUAAAUGUAAUUUUAUAUAGUUUUAUAAAAUGAUUAAAAAUUAAAAUAUGUACAUAUUGCCCGUCACUUUCAUUUUAAAAUUGAAAUAAGUCGUAACAAAGUAGAGGUACUGGAAAGUGUUUCUAGAAAGAA
This 761-nucleotide non-coding RNA is filed under the name Abaratha angulata. The record is from RNAcentral. Lineage: Eukaryota; Metazoa; Arthropoda; Insecta; Lepidoptera; Hesperiidae.